Molecule: ribosomal RNA, 301 nt
Filed under: uncultured bacterium
Lineage: Bacteria
Description: partial 16S ribosomal RNA
Rfam family: Bacterial small subunit ribosomal RNA
Source: RNAcentral
CAGCAGCCACGGUAAUACAGAGGGUGCGAGCGUUAAUCGGAUUUACUGGGCGUAAAGCGUGCGUAGGCGGCUUCUUAAGUUGGAUGUGAAAUCCCUGAGCUUAACUUAGGAAUUGCAUUCGAUACUGGGAAGCUAGAGUAUGGGAGAGGAUGGUAGAAUUCCAGGUGUAGCGGUGAAAUGCGUAGAGAUCUGGAGGAAUACCGAUGGCGAAGGCAGCCAUCUGGCCUAAUACUGACGCUGAGGUACGAAAGCAUGGGGAGCAAACAGGAUUAGAGACCCGAGUAGUCCCUGUCUCUUAUAC